Molecule: transfer RNA, 73 nt
Organism: Felis catus (domestic cat)
Lineage: Eukaryota; Metazoa; Chordata; Mammalia; Carnivora; Felidae
Rfam family: tRNA
About the family: Transfer RNA (tRNA) molecules are approximately 80 nucleotides in length. Their secondary structure includes four short double-helical elements and three loops (D, anti-codon, and T loops). Further hydrogen bonds mediate the characteristic L-shaped molecular structure. tRNAs have two regions of fundamental functional importance: the anti-codon, which is responsible for specific mRNA codon recognition, and the 3' end, to which the tRNAs corresponding amino acid is attached (by aminoacyl-tRNA synthetases). tRNAs cope with the degeneracy of the genetic code in two manners: having more than one tRNA (with a specific anti-codon) for a particular amino acid; and 'wobble' base-pairing, i.e. permitting non-standard base-pairing at the 3rd anti-codon position.
Source: Rfam
ACCUGGCUGGCUCAGUUGGUAGAAUGUGUGACUCUUGAUCUCAAGGUUGUGAGUUCAAGCCCCACAUUGGGUG